Non-coding RNA from Acanthosepion pharaonis, 97 nucleotides. The record is from the annotation of a GenBank genome assembly. Lineage: Eukaryota; Metazoa; Mollusca; Cephalopoda; Sepiida; Sepiidae.
UGUUGAAUCACAAGUUCUCAUCCAAUCACCAAAGUUAAGCAACAUCAAGCCUGGUCAGUACCUAGAUUAGUGACUGCUUGGGAAUACUAGGUGCUGU